Long non-coding RNA from Oncorhynchus keta (chum salmon), 361 nucleotides. RefSeq lists it as uncharacterized. The record is from RefSeq and is a predicted model, not a curated record. The transcript has 2 exons. Lineage: Eukaryota; Metazoa; Chordata; Actinopteri; Salmoniformes; Salmonidae.
AAGUCGCGUCCUCUAGUUUGUGAACCGCUUACUAAAUGACGAUUCAGGACAAUGACCCAAAACACACCUCCAGGCUGUGUAAGGGCUAUUUGACCAAGGGGAGUGAUGGAGUGCUGCAUCAGAUGACCUGGCAUCCACAAUCACCUGACAUCAACCCAAUUGAGAUGGUUUGAGAUGAGUUUGACCGGAGAGGGAAGGAAAAGCAGCCAACAAGUGCCCAGCACAUGCGGGAACUCCUGUUGAAAAAGCAUUCCAGGUGAAGCUGAUUGAGAGAAUGCCAAGAGUGUGCAAAGCUGUCAUCAAGGAUUAUGAUGGCUACUUUGAAGAAUCUCAAAUAUAAUAUAUAUUAUGAUUUGUUUAA